RNAcentral lists this non-coding RNA (113 nucleotides) under Helianthus annuus (common sunflower). Lineage: Eukaryota; Viridiplantae; Streptophyta; Magnoliopsida; Asterales; Asteraceae. The record is from RNAcentral.
GUGUUCGUAAGAAGGAGAGAUGGUUGGCAUCUCCCCCGAUAGGGAUGGGAACAACUUUUGAGCUUGCCUGCUUAAGAGGCUACCCGCUUUGGGGGAUCUAUAACCCAAAUUAC